RNAcentral lists this ribosomal RNA (480 nucleotides) under uncultured bacterium. RNAcentral describes it as "partial 16S ribosomal RNA". It matches the Rfam family "Bacterial small subunit ribosomal RNA", at positions 28 to 523 of the family's 1533-position model. The record is from RNAcentral.
GACGAACGCUGGCGGCGUGCUUAGCACAUGCAAGUCGAGCGAAAAGGCCCUUUCGGGGGUACUCGAGCGGCGAACGGGUGAGUAACACGUGAGUAAUCUGCCCCUGGGUUUGGGAUAGCAACCGGAAACGGUGAUUAAUACCGGAUACGACCACUUCCCGCAGGGGAUGGUGGUGGAAAGUUUUUCGGCCAGGGAUGUGCACGCGGGCUAUCAGCUUGAUGGUGAGGUAAUGGCUGACUAUGGCUUCGACGGGUAGCCGGCCUGAGAGGGUGACCGGUCACACUGGGACUGAGACACGGCCCAGACUCCUACGGGAGGCAGCAGUGGGGAAUAUUGGACAAUGGGCGGAAGCCUGAUCCAGCAACGCCGCGUGAGGGAUGACGGCCUUCGGGUUGUAAACCUCUUUCAGCAGGGACGAAGCGCAAGUGACGGUACCUGCAGAAGAAGCACCGGCCAACUACGUGCCAGCCGCCGCCGUAA